GAUGAACGCUGGCGGCGUGCCUAAUACAUGCAAGUCGAGCGAACGGACGAGAAGCUUGCUUCUCUGAUGUUAGCGGCGGACGGGUGAGUAACACGUGUAUAACCUACCUAUAAGACUGGGAUAACUUCGGGACACCGGAGCUAAUACCGGAUAAUAUUUUGAACCGCAUUGUUCAAUAGUGAAAGACGGUCUUGCUGUCACUUAUCGCUGGAUCCGCGCUGCAUUAGCUAGUUGGUAAGGUAACGGCUUACCAAGGCAACGAUGCAUAGACGACGGGAGAGGGGGAUAGGCCACACGGGAGCUGAGACACGGUCAAGAGGACUACGGGAGGCAGCAGUAGGGAACGGGACGCAAUGGGCGAAAGCAUGACGGAGCAAGGGCGCGUGAGUGAUGAAGGUCUUGGGAUCGUAAAACUCGGUUAUGAGGGAAGAACAGAUGUGGAAGGAAAUGUGGACAGAGUGACGGUAACGAAUCAGAAAGCAACGGCUAACUACGUG
This 497-nucleotide ribosomal RNA is filed under the name uncultured bacterium. Its description in RNAcentral is "partial 16S ribosomal RNA". It matches the Rfam family "Bacterial small subunit ribosomal RNA", at positions 28 to 507 of the family's 1533-position model. The record is from RNAcentral.